AACGAACGCUGGCGGCAUGCCUAACACAUGCAAGUCGAACGAGACCUUCGGGUCUAGUGGCGCACGGGUGCGUAACGCGUGGGAACCUGCCCUUAGGUUCGGAAUAACUCCCCGAAAGGGGUGCUAAUACCGGAUAAUGUCUUCGGACCAAAGAUUUAUCGCCUUUGGAUGGGCCCGCGUUGGAUUAGCUAGUUGGUAGGGUAAAAGCCUACCAAGGCGACGAUCCAUAGCUGGUCUGAGAGGAUGAUCAGCCACACUGGGACUGAGACACGGCCCAGACUCCUACGGGAGGCAGCAGUAGGGAAUAUUGGGCGAUGGGCGAAAGCCUGAUCCAGCAAUGCCGCGUGAGUGAUGAAGGCCUUAGGGUUGUAAAGCUCUUUUACCCGGGAUGAUAAUGACAGUACCGGGAGAAUAAGCUCCGGCUAACUCCGUG
RNAcentral lists this ribosomal RNA (433 nucleotides) under uncultured bacterium. Its description in RNAcentral is "partial 16S ribosomal RNA". It matches the Rfam family "Bacterial small subunit ribosomal RNA", at positions 29 to 507 of the family's 1533-position model. The record is from RNAcentral.